CCAAUAGCGUAUAUUAAAGUUGUUGCAGUUAAAAAGCUCGUAGUUGAAUUUCGGGAUCAAUGUUUCGGUCAUGCCGUUGGUAUGUACUGAUAUUAUUGAUUUCUCACCUUCUAAAGAACCGUAAUGCCAUUAAUUUGGUGUCACGGGGAAUUAGGACUGUUACCUUGAAAAAAUUAGAGUGUUUAAAGCAGGCUCACGCUUGAAUACAUUAGCAUGGAAU
This 220-nucleotide ribosomal RNA is filed under the name uncultured Glomus. RNAcentral's name for it is "partial small subunit ribosomal RNA". It matches the Rfam family "Eukaryotic small subunit ribosomal RNA", at positions 591 to 815 of the family's 1831-position model. The record is from RNAcentral. Lineage: Eukaryota; Fungi; Glomeromycota; Glomeromycetes; Glomerales; Glomeraceae.